This 744-nucleotide long non-coding RNA is filed under the name Homo sapiens (human). RNAcentral describes it as "non-protein coding GMDS-DT:90". Lineage: Eukaryota; Metazoa; Chordata; Mammalia; Primates; Hominidae. The record is from RNAcentral.
GCCUCAGGGAAGAGGAAGGAGGCCGCGGCUUCGCGUCCCGCCUCUCGCCUGGCUGGCCGUGGGGGGCCUGGACGCAGUGGCCUCCCGAAUCUCCCAGGACCCUAAUAUCGCCCGAGGAUGCUGGGAGGAACGCUGAGCCGACCUCUCCGUUAGGCUGAAGAUUGCACAAACCAUGCUAAUGGCCAGCAUGGAUGGAGGGAGCGUGUGAGAUGUGUGGGGCAGCGUGCUGCAUCUCAGCCAACUCCAGGAGAUGGAACGAAGUCUGUUUGUGGAAACACCCUUCCCCUCUGUUUACUUGGACCUGAUUUUGAAAGUAACAAGUCACUUUAUUUGGGCUGGAGGAAAAAGCACUAAACCAGAUGUUGAGGUGACCGGGAUUCCUGGAAGACAUUCUUCUCUCCAACGAGACACAUGAUGCAUGAAGUAGGAGCCCCUGGCAAGGAGCCCAGGCUGCCAUGGCCUCGCUCGCUCCUGCUUCCCGGCAUGGCCCCGAGGCUAGCUGCCUCUGUACUGCCUGAGCAUCGUCCCCUGGCGUGUCACCAGACUACCCACUACCUGUGCUUGCACCUGCAGGUGGGCAGUUCAGUCGUUGCAGGCUGAAGCUCCCUGUCACAGGAGUCCAUCAGCACUGGAGUUUACCAAAUGGCCCAGUCCAGGAAGCAUGCUCAUGGCAAUACCCGGAGUCUCCACUGCAAGACCAGAGUGACGGAGGCAGCAGAGCUCCUCAGCAGGCCAGGAGUCUCC